MicroRNA precursor from Chelydra serpentina (North American snapping turtle), 93 nucleotides. The record is from Ensembl. NCBI's taxonomy places the organism in Eukaryota, Metazoa, Chordata, Testudines, Chelydridae.
GAUGCAAUUGGCUGCUCAGUAGUCGGUGUAGGAUCUGUCUGACAUUAUUACCAACAGCUACAUCUGAUUACUGGGUCACUGAUAGCAUCAUCA